RNAcentral lists this ribosomal RNA (492 nucleotides) under uncultured bacterium. RNAcentral's name for it is "partial 16S ribosomal RNA". It matches the Rfam family "Bacterial small subunit ribosomal RNA", at positions 29 to 507 of the family's 1533-position model. The record is from RNAcentral.
AGUGAACGCUGGCGGUAGGCCUAACACAUGCAAGUCGAACGGCAGCACAGUAAGAGCUUGCUCUUACGGGUGGCGAGUGGCGGACGGGUGAGGAAUACAUCGGAAUCUACUUUUUCGUGGGGGAUAACGUAGGGAAACUUACGCUAAUACCGCAUACGACCUACGGGUGAAAGCAGGGGAUCUUCGGACCUUGCGCGAUUGAAUGAGCCGAUGUCGGAUUAGCUAGUUGGCAGGGUAAAGGCCCACCAAGGCGACGAUCCGUAGCUGGUCUGAGAGGAUGAUCAGCGACACUGGAACUGAGACACGGUCCAGACUCCUACGGGAGGCAGCAGUGGGGAAUAUUGGACAGCGGGCGGGAGCCUGAUACAGCCAGACCGCGUGGGUGAAGAAGGCGUUCGGGUUGUAAAGCCCUUUUGUGGGGAAAGAAAAGCAGCAGGUUAAUACCACGCUGUUGUGACGGUACCCAAAGAAUAAGCACCGGCUAACUUCGUG